Long non-coding RNA from Xiphophorus hellerii (green swordtail), 1299 nucleotides. RefSeq lists it as uncharacterized. The transcript is spliced from 5 exons. Lineage: Eukaryota; Metazoa; Chordata; Actinopteri; Cyprinodontiformes; Poeciliidae. The record is from RefSeq and is a predicted model, not a curated record.
UCUUUCUUUGAUUCAGCCCCCAGUUCUCAGCCCACUAACUCCCUUCAAUGCAUUGCUUGUAACCCCACAACUUCUCAGUGCAUCACUCCAAUAACCUGUUCAGGAGAUGAGACCAACUGCUUCUCAGCAACUUUGAAAAAUGGAACAAACACAAUUCCUGCACUGGGUUGUGCAUCACCAAACAACUGUACAGCUGCUUCAGGUCUGGGAAGUUUGCCGUUCAUGCAGAGUGUUGGUUCAAUCACCAGUGGACCAACCUGCUGUGCAACCGAUCUGUGCAAUAAUCCAAGUACAACCACCACCACAGUUGCACCAGCUACUACAACCAGAACAACUGCUGCAGCAGCAACAACUUCAACAAUAUCUCUGACCAUCACAUCCACAAGAGCCGGAACUCUGCAGUGUCUGACCUGCACAGAUGCGACAUGUUCAAGCACAGUUUCGGUGACAUGCAGCUCAGUAACGAUGUGUAUAACAGCUUCCGUCUUAGCUUCUUCAUCUGGAGCAACACAACGACAAAUCUACAAAGGCUGCUUCCUCUCUGUGUCCAAGAACACCCCGUCAGACAUUUUCAGUCAUCCUGGGCUUCCAAAGUGGUGUAGCCUCUGCUGAGUGUUGCAACACCAACGACUGUAACUCACAGACUCUGACUUUACCUGGUUCUGAGUAUCUAAAUGGCCUGAAGUGUGUUGCUUGUGACCUCAGCCCUUCUCAGUGCAACACUCCAACAGCAUAUUCAGAAGAUGGGGGCAACUGCUUGCCAACAGCUGGUGAGUUUCCAGCCUUAAUAUUUCAACAUUUCCUCUUUAACUUAUGCUAAACAUAUUAAUUUUCAUAACUUUUUAUACAUUGUGCCAAAUAUAAUUUUAAACAUUAGAAAUGCAGUAAUGUCUAAAUGUAAUUUACAUUUGAAGGCAUCUGCUAAAAAAGACUAAAGAAUCAAAUAGGUUAAAAUCCUAAAAAUAGGGUGUGAUCAAUUAUCUCAUUUGUUUAAAGACUGUAUUGAAUUUCCUAUCUAUGUACUGUAAGUAGUUUAGGUUAACGAGGGACAGGAACCUGCCCAAAGGACUAGUAGGACCACCCGCGACUGCUCAUGUUAAAGUAAAUGGAACACCAUGCACUGCUCUCUUGGACAGUGGCUCUCAGGUCACAAUAAUUUUUGACAGCUGGUAUGUCGAACACUUCUCACAUGUUCCUUUACAUCCAGUGUCAGGUUUAGCCAUCUGGGGUUUAAGUGAAUCUGAGAGCAGUUACCCAUAUAAAGGCUAAAUUUAAGUAGACUUGGAGUUUUUAGAGAAG